This 1030-nucleotide ribosomal RNA is filed under the name Dothideaceae sp. RNAcentral's name for it is "SSU rRNA". It matches the Rfam family "Eukaryotic small subunit ribosomal RNA", at positions 66 to 1105 of the family's 1831-position model. The record is from RNAcentral. Lineage: Eukaryota; Fungi; Ascomycota; Dothideomycetes; Dothideales; Dothideaceae.
AAAGCAACUAUACGGUGAAACUGCGAAUGGCUCAUUAAAUCAGUUAUCGUUUAUUUGAAUAGUACCUACUACUUGGAUAACCGUGGUAAUUCUAGAGCUAAUACAUGCUAAAAACCUCGACUUCGGAAGGGGUGUAUUUAUUAGAUAAAAAACCAGCGCCCUUCGGGGCUCCUUGGUGAUUCAUAAUAACUAAACGAAUCGCAUGGCCUUGCGCCGGCGAUGGUUCAUUCAAAUUUCUGCCCUAUCAACUUUCGAUGGUAGGAUAGUGGCCUACCAUGGUAUCAACGGGUAACGGGGAAUUAGGGUUCUAUUCCGGAGAGGGAGCCUGAGAAACGGCUACCACAUCCAAGGAAGGCAGCAGGCGCGCAAAUUACCCAAUCCCGACACGGGGAGGUAGUGACAAUAAAUACUGAUACAGGGCUCUUUUGGGUCUUGUAAUUGGAAUGAGUACAAUUUAAAUCCCUUAACGAGGAACAAUUGGAGGGCAAGUCUGGUGCCAGCAGCCGCGGUAAUUCCAGCUCCAAUAGCGUAUAUUAAAGUUGUUGCAGUUAAAAAGCUCGUAGUUGAACCUUGGGCCUGGCUGGCCGGUCCGCCUCACCGCGUGUACUGGUCCGGCCGGGCCUUUCCUUCUGGGGAGCCGCAUGCCCUUCACUGGGCGUGUUGGGGAACCAGGACUUUUACUUUGAAAAAAUUAGAGUGUUCAAAGCAGGCCUUUGCUCGAAUACAUUAGCAUGGAAUAAUAGAAUAGGACGUGCGGUUCUAUUUUGUUGGUUUCUAGGACCGCCGUAAUGAUUAAUAGGGAUAGUCGGGGGCAUCAGUAUUCAAUUGUCAGAGGUGAAAUUCUUGGAUUUAUUGAAGACUAACUACUGCGAAAGCAUUUGCCAAGGAUGUUUUCAUUAAUCAGUGAACGAAAGUUAGGGGAUCGAAGACGAUCAGAUACCGUCGUAGUCUUAACCAUAAACUAUGCCGACUAGGGAUCGGGCGAUGUUAUCAUUUUGACUCGCUCGGCNCCUUACGAGAAAUCAAAGUC